GAUGAAGAACGUAGCGAAAUGCGAUAAGUAAUGUGAAUUGCAGAAUUCAGUGAACCAUCGAAUCUUUGAACGCACAUUGCGCCCGGCAGUAAUCUGCCGGGCAUGCCUGUCCGAGCGUCAUUUCUGCCCUCGAGCGAGUCCAGCAUCUAGGUGCUGGGCCCGCCCGGCGUUGGGGCACUACGGGAAGCCCUGUGCUGUCCCCCGUGGGCCCCGAAAUGAAGUGGCGGUCCUGCCGCGGCGCCCCCUGCGUAGUAUAACAGCUCGCUUCGGGACCCGGUGGAGGCCUGCCGUCAAACCUUACUCUCUAAGUUUGACCUCGGAUCAGGUAGGGUUACCCGCUGAACUUAAGCAUAUCAACAAGCGGACGA
This 368-nucleotide unclassified non-coding RNA is filed under the name soil metagenome. RNAcentral describes it as "partial contains 5.8S ribosomal RNA, internal transcribed spacer 2, and large subunit ribosomal RNA". The stretch from base 1 to 120 matches the Rfam family "5.8S ribosomal RNA", at positions 35 to 154 of the family's 154-position model. The record is from RNAcentral.